Octopus sinensis (East Asian common octopus) is the source of this 236-nucleotide long non-coding RNA. RefSeq lists it as uncharacterized. The transcript has 3 exons. The record is from RefSeq and is a predicted model, not a curated record. Lineage: Eukaryota; Metazoa; Mollusca; Cephalopoda; Octopoda; Octopodidae.
GAGAUGUGCUUGCAUAGCAUUUAACUUGAUCUGAAAUCGUAUGCUGAAACAACAACAAUUGCAGCAUGGAAGAUGUUGGUAAACUAUUUACGAACACAAAUACCGUUAGUUUCACUUUAACAUUAAAACUUCAUUUGUGUCAUCAUAUUUUCUUCUCUUUAAAACCGUGACCUCUUCACUGACAAGACUUCACAAAAGUGAUGUAGCACGAAGUUUAGUCAUUGAAAAGUGCGUGC